Long non-coding RNA from Platichthys flesus (European flounder), 744 nucleotides. RefSeq lists it as uncharacterized. The record is from RefSeq and is a predicted model, not a curated record. The transcript has 4 exons. Lineage: Eukaryota; Metazoa; Chordata; Actinopteri; Pleuronectiformes; Pleuronectidae.
UGCAAAAUACGUAAUUUGCCACCAUAGGGAGUCUCACUACAUUGCCUUGGAUAACCCCCCACCAUCAUCUCACCGGCUUCAGGGAGAAACAGCCCGGCUCAACGCUGGAGCCCGGGCUGACACUGCGGCAAGUGUUUAGUGUCCCGGGGGCCUCCGCCCUGACGAUCGGUCGAAACUGUAGAUGUUGAAGAAGCAACCCAUUGGUAAGCUCUUCAACCGGAGCAGUAGAGUAUCCUGAGAGAAGCAGACACAAGAAGUUGAAGGAAAACACCAAACUCUUAUGAAGAGGGGAAGAAAAUAUAAGGCAAGUUUAGGGCUACUUUGAAAUAAAUUAAACACAGAUCUGUCACAGUUCCUCUAUGCCUCCAGUGCCCCUCCCCUCUCGUUUCUCCUUUUCCACAGGUGCUGUACAUCCCGGUGAUGACCCGGCUCUCCAGGCGCACCUGCACCAAUCAACUCCGGGCUUUAUCUGCCCUGGCUGUGCUGCGAGUCAUCGCCAGUUCGUCCUCGUUACUACAGUGGAAUUAACCCUUGGACCCUCGUGUCUUCCUUAACCCUGAAGAUCUCACGGAGCUCUCAGCCGUCCUGACUACCACCACCCUGAAGAUCUCACGGAGCUCUCAGCGGUCUCGUCUACCACCACCCUGAAGAUCUCACGGAGCUCUCAGCGGUCUUGUCUACCACCACGCUGAAGACCUCACGGAGCCAGCAGCGGACCCGUAAUUCUGUUCUCUCCUACGAUUA